AUGGGUGUUACGCACGAUUCGUCUCGGAUACACCAUUCAGUUUCGAAAAGGCCCGCCUCCUUUCCGCGGAAUUCUUCCCACGGUUGUGAAACCAGAGGAAGUCGCGGUGCUGCGGCAAGAAAUGACAGCUCUGCUGAAGAAAGGGGCUAUAGAAGAAGUACACCCCUCUCAGAUGGAGUCAGGUUUUUACAGCCGCUAUUUUGUUGUACCAAAAAAAGGGGGCGGUUUGCGACCCAUAUUGGAUCUACGCCGUUUGAAUCUUGCACUCAGGACGAGCAAAUUCAGGAUGUUAACGGUAAAGUCCAUUUUGUCUCAGAUUCAACCAAACACUUGGUUUGUCACGAUCGAUCUGAAGGAUGCAUAUUUUCAUAUUCAGAUCAUCAAGAGACACAGGAAGUUCCUCAGAUUCGCUUUAGAGGGCAAAGCGUAUCAAUACCGUGUUCUUCCGUUCGGCUUAGCCCUGGCUCCCCGAACUUUUUCAAAAUGCAUGGACGCAGCUCUGGCCCCGUUGCGGCUCCAGGGCGUUCGUGUGUUGAAUUACUUGGACGAUUGGCUGGUGCUAGCUCAAUCACAGACUCAAGCACUCUCUCACCGAGAUUUAGUGCUGAAUCAUUUAAGAAGCCUGGGCUUAUGCACGAAUUUCCAGAAGAGUGUUUUAAUCCCCUCUCAACGGAUAACCUUUCUGGGAAUAGAUUUGGACUCUCGCGCGAUGACAGCCAGACUAUCUCUCCCGCGCGUUCAGUCUCUCACGUCAUGCGUGCGUCACUUCAAAGUAGGCCGCACAGUGACGGUGAGUUUGUGUCUCAGGCUGUUAGGUCUGAUGGCAGCGGCAUCCCCUGUAAUUCGUCUGGGCUUACUUCACAUGCGCCCUUUUCAGUGGUGGACGAAAAGUCAGAACAUUUCACCCCGUUGUUUUCCGCAUCGUACGAUUUCGGUGACACGGAGGUGUGUUAUGUCAAUAAAACAGUGGAUGUCAACCGAGUUCCUUCUAGCCGGAGUUCGGCUGGGGAUUUGUGCUUCCCGAGAGACUGUCACGACGGACGCGUCUUUGACCGGUUGGGGAGCUGUUUGUCAAGGGCGCCCAGCUCAUGGAGUGUGGACAGCGACACAACGCGGUUGGCACAUAAACAGGUUGGAACUACUGGCAGUUUUUCUAGCUCUCCAGUAUUUCUCAAAUCUGCUGACCGGCCGUCAUGUACUACUCAGGUCAGACAACAUGGCGGUUGUGUCAUACCUGAAUCAUCAAGGAGGGUUACGCUCUCGCCCCCUGUGCAGGCUGGCGAGGAGUAUUCUUCUUUGGUCUCGGAACAGAUUUCUAUCGAUCCGAGCAGUUCAUGUCCCCGGACGUUUGAACGUCGGAGCGGAUCUGCUAUCCAGACAGACUCUGGAGCAGGGGGAAUGGAGAUUACACCCACAGACGGUGAGCCUUUUAUGGCAGAUAUUCGGAGAGGCGAGAGUGGACUUAUUCGCGUCGAGCACGACUACGCAUUGCCCGCUGUGGUUCUCCCUAUGCCCUCCAUCGCCCCUAGGCUUGGAUGCGUUAGCUCACGAUUGGCCCAGGACCAGCUUGUAUGCUUUUCCUCCAAUUCGUUUAAUUCCAGCGGUGUUGUCCAGGAUACGGCUGGACAGAGUGGAGCAGCUGCUGCUGGUGGCUCCGUGGUGGCCCACACAGCCGUGGUUUGCGGAACUGGUCAGUCUAAUAGUGGGCUCUCCAUGGGAGAUUCCCCUCAGACAGGACUUACUAUCGCAAGCACGAGGGAUGAUUUGGCACCCGAGGCCAGAUCUGUGGAAACUGUGGGCGUGGCCUCUGAGCGGAGUGAGUUAAUAUGUCCCGGUCUUUCUGCGGAAACCUCCGAGACUAUUAUGAAUUCCAGAGCAGCAUCUACGAGACGCUUAUAUGCUUUCAAAUGGAAGCUGUUUACGACCUGGUGUGGUUUUCGUAGUAUAGACCCAGUUUACUGCCCAGUGGCUUCAGUACUGGAGUUCCUUCAAGACCGUUUCUCUGAUGGAGUAACGCCAGCAACUUUGAAAGUUUAUGUGGCAGCCAUUUCAGCUAACCACGUAUAUAUGGAUGGUGCUUCAGUGGGCCGUCAUCCGCUGGUCUCUCGCUUUUUACAAGGUGCGCGACGGCUGAGGCCUUUCCGCCCUGUGCGAGUUCCCUCAUGGGAUUUAUCUAUUGUACUGCAAGGUCUAUCAGGACAUCCGUUUGAGCCCUUGGAAACCGUACCGGAUAAAAUCCUGACCUUGAAGACAGUUCUUCUUAUGGCCUUAUCCUCCCUCAAGAGAGUUGGGGAUUUACAGGCUCUUUCUGUUUCGCCGUCGUGCAUGGAUUUUGCACCAGGCUUUGUGAAGGUAUUGCUGCGACCGAGGCCUAAUUAUGUCCCUAAAGUCGCUUCGAACCCCUUUCAUUUUCAGCAGACGGUCCUGGAGGCUUUACCCCCUGCUGGGACAGGAUCAGAAGAUCUAAGUCUUUGCCCUGUCAGAGCGCUUAAGACUUAUGUCGAUCGAUCAGCCUCAUGGCGUGAGUCCGACCAGCUGUUUGUCUGUUUUGGACACAAGAAUAGAGGCCAUGCUGUCACAAAGCAACGCAUGUCCCAUUGGUUGGUGGAGGCAAUAUCUUUAGCCUAUGAGGCGCGCGGUCUCGCCUCGCCUCUAGGAGUCAAAGCUCAUUCCACUAGAGCAGUCGCUUCCUCUCAGGCGGCCCUCAGUGGAUCUUCUAUGGCUGAUAUCUGUGCUGCGGCAGGAUGGUCCUCACCGAACACUUUUAUCAAGUUUUACAGUCUGGAUGUAAGGACGGCUCCUGGCUCCCGGGUUCUCUCCGCUUGA
Molecule: long non-coding RNA, 2826 nt
Organism: Cyprinus carpio (common carp)
Lineage: Eukaryota; Metazoa; Chordata; Actinopteri; Cypriniformes; Cyprinidae
Source: Ensembl